Molecule: ribosomal RNA, 515 nt
Filed under: uncultured bacterium
Lineage: Bacteria
Description: partial 16S ribosomal RNA
Rfam family: Bacterial small subunit ribosomal RNA
Source: RNAcentral
GAUGAACGCUGGCGGCGUGCCUAAUACAUGCAAGUCGAGCGAAUGGAUUAAGAGCUUGCUCUUAUGAAGUUAGCGGCGGACGGGUGAGUAACACGUGGGUAACCUGCCCAUAAGACUGGGAUAACUCCGGGAAACCGGGGCUAAUACCGGAUAACAUUUUGAACCGCAUGGUUCGAAAUUGAAAGGCGGCUUCGGCUGUCACUUAUGGAUGGACCCGCGUCGCAUUAGCUAGUUGGGGAGGUAACGGCUAACGAAGGCAACGAUGCGUAGCCGACCUGAGAGGGUGAUCGGCCACCCUGGGACUGAGACACGGCCCAGACUCCUACGGGAGGCAGCAGUAGGGAAUCUUCCGCAAUGGACGAAAGUCUGACGGAGCAACGCCGCGUGAGUGAUGAAGGCUUUCGGGUCGUAAAACUCUGUUGUUAGGGAAGAACAAGUGCUAGUUGAAUAAGCUGACACCUUGACGGUACCUAACCAGAAAGCCACGGCUAACUACGUGCCAGCAGCCGCCGUAA